Gorilla gorilla gorilla (western lowland gorilla) is the source of this 1988-nucleotide long non-coding RNA. RefSeq lists it as uncharacterized. The record is from RefSeq and is a predicted model, not a curated record. NCBI's taxonomy places the organism in Eukaryota, Metazoa, Chordata, Mammalia, Primates, Hominidae. The transcript is spliced from 3 exons.
AUGAUUUAGGCCUCCAGACCUCCAUAUUUUUAGAUAUGGAAGCCCAAGUCUGUCUUGAAAGUAACAGCUCUGGUGGCUGGCUGUUUUCUUCUUCACCAAACGUCUUCUCAGUCAGGACAGAAAACUGCCAAGCCUGGCGCUUCUGGAACUUCAUCCUACUGUCUAGUCUUUUGUGCCCUCAUCACAUGCCUGUUCCUGAAGCCCAGGAACAGAGAGAAGCUCCUCUGGAUCAGACGGAUGUAAGCUGGAGCUGUGGCAGCUGUCAUUGCCCUGUGAAAAGUCCACUUGGAGCUGCCAAAGACCACCCCAGGAGCUUCAGAAUGAAGACAACCUGGAAGUCAGAGCUGACAGAAAUAAGGUGAAGUUAGCUUGAGGAAAGAGCUGUAAGGAAGAGUGAAGUCAGCUGAGUCAAGGACACAAGCGGAAAAUGUGCAAAGAUGAGCCAGAAGCAUGGAAAAGUACUUCCAAGACAGAGGAGAACUGAUCCAAGAGAAAGGAGAUGGGAGUGGGCAUCACGUACAGCCAGAGGGCGCCACCUGCCGGUAAGAGCUGAAUAGUGAACUUCGUGUUUCUUGGGAUAAAACAUUGUAUAAUACACAGUACUGGGAAGAAAAUCAGAUACGCACUAAUGCUGCCUCUACGUUAUACCGCCAUCAUUCCCCUAAUUUAUCACUCCCUUAUGAGUAAUUUCGGGUUACAAAAACUUGUGUAACAUAACAUUGUAUAUAUUCUUUGCAAUGUAUGCAAAUACACACAAAUAUGUAAAUAUAUGUUUGUUUGUUUGUAUACGCAUAGGAUAGUUUCAGAUGGAAACACCCAAAGUAGCAACACUGACUGCCUCUAGGGGGGGAAACCGAGCAUCUAGAAGGUGAGGUGUGUGUGGGGGUACUUUUGAGGUGUUGCCCACCUGUAUGUUUGGAAUAUUCUCUAAUCAAAAAAAAAUUUAAAUAGAAUCAUUAAAAUUUUUUAAAACUGAAGACUUCCCCUAGAUCCUUUCUAUCAUCUUUAACUAGAACCAUUCUGGCUUUAUGACUAAACCUAUCUGCUUUGGUCAUUUACUUCUUUAAAACGAGACAACCGUGUGACAUCCUAGGAUCCAUCGAAUGACCUAGUUCACAAGAGAAGCCAGAAUGCAGUCAGGACAAGGCAAACAGCCCUUUACUGGAAGAAUUGGGCAGUCUAUCUGGUGAGAGAUAAGUUUAAAUAGGGCUGUGACACUGCACAACAAAGUCCCAUUUUUUGGACUUUAUGGGGGUUGAAAACCCUGCCUGACAGACUCAGAGUCCUUAACCAGACUGCCCCAGCGGGGAGAAGGGUACCGGGAGGGUUUCCACGAGGGCAGAGGCAGCAGGUGUCUGACUACCUACUCCAUUUGCAAGGACGAAUGGAAAGCCAGGGCUCACCACACAGGUGAACAGUAGAAGACUGCAUGAGCCGAUGGAAAAACAGACCCUAAGAGCAGCAGAAGAGGAGACAGUCCAAAUAACAUCUUCAGCGAGAUUAAGACUAUAGUUUAUGGCAGUCUCGUGCAUCUAUCAACAAUAAGAACAUACUAUAUAGAGAGACAAUUAGAAGACAAGAGUUACCUAGAGAUUGAAAAUAUAAUUGCUGAAGUUAAAAAACACUUUAUUGGCCGGGCGCAGUGGCUCACACCUGUAAUCCUAGCACUUUUGGAGGCUGAGGCAGGCAGGUCACUUGAGCCCAGGAGUUCAAGACCAGCCUGGACAACACAGGGAGACCCUGUCUCUACAAAAAAAAUUGCAAAAAUUAGCCGAGCAUGGUGGCAUGCACUUGUAGCUUGGGACUACAUCCUAGCUACGUGGGAGGCAUAGAUGGGAGGAUCACCUGGGCCCGGGAAGUGUGAGGCUGUAGUGAGCUGUGAUUGCACCACUGUACUCCAGUCUGGGCAACAGAGUGAGAUUCUGUCUCAAAAAACAAAAAAACAAACAAACAGAAAAAAACAAAACAAACAACAAAAACCACCUAAA